RNAcentral lists this ribosomal RNA (1711 nucleotides) under Escherichia coli. RNAcentral's name for it is "partial 23S ribosomal RNA". It matches the Rfam family "Bacterial large subunit ribosomal RNA", at positions 1 to 1756 of the family's 2925-position model. Lineage: Bacteria; Pseudomonadati; Pseudomonadota; Gammaproteobacteria; Enterobacterales; Enterobacteriaceae. The record is from RNAcentral.
GGUUAAGCGACUAAGCGUACACGGUGGAUGCCCUGGCAGUCAGAGGCGAUGAAGGACGUGCUAAUCUGCGAUAAGCGUCGGUAAGGUGAUAUGAACCGUUAUAACCGGCGAUUUCCGAAUGGGGAAACCCAGUGUGAUUCGUCACACUAUCAUUAACUGAAUCCAUAGGUUAAUGAGGCGAACCGGGGGAACUGAAACAUCUAAGUACCCCGAGGAAAAGAAAUCAACCGAGAUUCCCCCAGUAGCGGCGAGCGAACGGGGAGGAGCCCAGAGCCUGAAUCAGUGUGUGUGUUAGUGGAAGCGUCUGGAAAGGCGCGCGAUACAGGGUGACAGCCCCGUACACAAAAAUGCACAUGCUGUGAGCUCGAUGAGUAGGGCGGGACACGUGGUAUCCUGUCUGAAUAUGGGGGGACCAUCCUCCAAGGCUAAAUACUCCUGACUGACCGAUAGUGAACCAGUACCGUGAGGGAAAGGCGAAAAGAACCCCGGCGAGGGGAGUGAAAAAGAACCUGAAACCGUGUACGUACAAGCAGUGGGAGCCUCUUUAUGGGGUGACUGCGUACCUUUUGUAUAAUGGGUCAGCGACUUAUAUUCUGUAGCAAGGUUAACCGAAUAGGGGAGCCGAAGGGAAACCGAGUCUUAACUGGGCGUUAAGUUGCAGGGUAUAGACCCGAAACCCGGUGAUCUAGCCAUGGGCAGGUUGAAGGUUGGGUAACACUAACUGGAGGACCGAACCGACUAAUGUUGAAAAAUUAGCGGAUGACUUGUGGCUGGGGGUGAAAGGCCAAUCAAACCGGGAGAUAGCUGGUUCUCCCCGAAAGCUAUUUAGGUAGCGCCUCGUGAAUUCAUCUCCGGGGGUAGAGCACUGUUUCGGCAAGGGGGUCAUCCCGACUUACCAACCCGAUGCAAACUGCGAAUACCGGAGAAUGUUAUCACGGGAGACACACGGCGGGUGCUAACGUCCGUCGUGAAGAGGGAAACAACCCAGACCGCCAGCUAAGGUCCCAAAGUCAUGGUUAAGUGGGAAACGAUGUGGGAAGGCCCAGACAGCCAGGAUGUUGGCUUAGAAGCAGCCAUCAUUUAAAGAAAGCGUAAUAGCUCACUGGUCGAGUCGGCCUGCGCGGAAGAUGUAACGGGGCUAAACCAUGCACCGAAGCUGCGGCAGCGACACUAUGUGUUGUUGGGUAGGGGAGCGUUCUGUAAGCCUGCGAAGGUGUACUGUGAGGUAUGCUGGAGGUAUCAGAAGUGCGAAUGCUGACAUAAGUAACGAUAAAGCGGGUGAAAAGCCCGCUCGCCGGAAGACCAAGGGUUCCUGUCCAACGUUAAUCGGGGCAGGGUGAGUCGACCCCUAAGGCGAGGCCGAAAGGCGUAGUCGAUGGGAAACAGGUUAAUAUUCCUGUACUUGGUGUUACUGCGAAGGGGGGACGGAGAAGGCUAUGUUGGCCGGGCGACGGUUGUCCCGGUUUAAGCGUGUAGGCUGGUUUUCCAGGCAAAUCCGGAAAAUCAAGGCUGAGGCGUGAUGACGAGGCACUACGGUGCUGAAGCAACAAAUGCCCUGCUUCCAGGAAAAGCCUCUAAGCAUCAGGUAACAUCAAAUCGUACCCCAAACCGACACAGGUGGUCAGGUAGAGAAUACCAAGGCGCUUGAGAGAACUCGGGUGAAGGAACUAGGCAAAAUGGUGCCGUAACUUCGGGAGAAGGCACGCUGAUA